Choloepus didactylus (southern two-toed sloth) is the source of this 540-nucleotide long non-coding RNA. RefSeq lists it as uncharacterized. NCBI's taxonomy places the organism in Eukaryota, Metazoa, Chordata, Mammalia, Pilosa, Megalonychidae. The transcript has 3 exons. The record is from RefSeq and is a predicted model, not a curated record.
UGUUCUCCCCAGAGCCCUGCGUGAAGAGCAGCUGGUACUGUUGAUUUGGGAAGUUGGCUGGAAAAAACUUAUUCAUGAAGGGGCUGGAAGGAAAGACAAAGCAAGUUGGCAAACAGAACCCCUGUGGGCAAUCACAGCCCCAACCCCAGCCCAGCCAGGCACCAUUUACUGUUGAUAGCCCCUGCAACCUCAAGGCUGCCCUGAUGGGGAUAAUAACAUCACCUGACUCAAAGAGCUGCUACAAAGAUACGAGGGACAGCAGGUGAAACACUUAGCCCAGCACUGGACUUGCAGCUGGACCACAUGCCACUAUCUACCCAAACGACAAAUGGAGAUGCUACUUGACCUGGAGAUCUCACUGCAUAUAUACCUGAAAACAUGCCAUGAUAUUUGCAUGAAGAUGUUCACAGCUGCUCUGCUGUGACAUCCCAACACUGGAUACACCUCAUAUCCCUCAGCAGUAAUCCACAAAACAGGAUCAUGAGCAGCUGUUAAAAAGAGUGAGGCAGAUCUGUGUUGAUACAGAAAGAUCUCCACAUA